Pelobates cultripes (western spadefoot toad) is the source of this 349-nucleotide non-coding RNA. The record is from the annotation of a GenBank genome assembly. Lineage: Eukaryota; Metazoa; Chordata; Amphibia; Anura; Pelobatidae.
CUAGAAUACAGGAAAUUCCAUAUUCACAAAAGUUUGUUAACCAGCAAUUGUAUAAUUUACCAAAUCAAUCUAUCUGUCUGUCUGUCUGUCUAUCUAUUAGAUUAGGGGUGAGGUCACAAAACAUCGCAUUGCUAUGCUCUCAUAAUCGACUCGCAAAAUUUGGCCAAAAUACAAGAGAUAAAACUUAUCUCUGUUUGAAAAUGUAUCCUUCUUUGCUGUGCUGGUCUAAAUUUAGUAAGUUAGCGAACAACUCACAACAUAUCUCUAUUUAAUGAAUACCAGCUUAUCAUUAAUAUUCAGUGUAGACAGCGGCUUCUAAACCAUCUUCAGCCACGCAAGCAGCCUGAGC